CCGCGUUUCUCUCUCUGUGCUGUGCUAUGUUCAGCUUGUUGUGGACGGAAUGAAUCGAAAACUGUUGCAGUGACCCCCAUAUACAUGUAACCCAAUAUUAAGAGCUCUGCUGCAGUGCUGCAGGCCGGCGUCUCAUCUGUCCUCUGAUAUGUUGCUGUUUGACUAGCUGCUGACCCAGAUUGUAAAUGUUUCACUGAAAUGCCCUGGUCUCUCCUCUUGAUGUUGAAGCGUCCACUCCGGCUGAUAUACUGUGUCUGGGAAUGACUUCAGUUCAGCUCAUCUCUGCUGCAAUCCAUGCACCUGGCUAACUGAUUAAUUCCCCUCAUUGUUUGCUGUAAUACUUCAUCAGCCGUUCCAGGACAUAGAAAAAUGAGAAUAUGUGUCCAGGAGGGUCAACGCUGAAAGUUCAGCCAUGUUUCCCAGGACUGUUCCACUCAAAACAUGGAAAUGUUUAUCUCCCUGUACAUGCUGUUAUAGAGUUGGCCAUUGACUGCCAGGCGCUUGCAAUGAAAUGGGAAUUUAAUUGAAGUUGACAGAAUGAUUUUUUCCCUCAAGCCUAAAAGCAGCCAAAACUAAAAGCAAGAGUGACAGAGUUUUUUUUUUUUGCAAAAUACCUUAGCCUUUUUAUAUAGAAACCACUUUUCGGUCACAGUACAAGCCCAGUUAAGAAUAAAUCAUGGACUGUAAUGGUACAGAGCAUUGAUUUUUCUUUUCUUUUUAAUAUUGCGAUUUGAGCGUUGAAAGUCAGUUUGAGUCUUACUUCUUAGAUUUUUAUAAGGCAUUUUUGAGCAAACAUGUUCAAGUCAUAAUAACCCC
This is a long non-coding RNA of Cyprinus carpio carpio, 816 nucleotides long. The record is from Ensembl. Lineage: Eukaryota; Metazoa; Chordata; Actinopteri; Cypriniformes; Cyprinidae.